This is a long non-coding RNA of Dendronephthya gigantea, 736 nucleotides long. RefSeq lists it as uncharacterized. The record is from RefSeq and is a predicted model, not a curated record. NCBI's taxonomy places the organism in Eukaryota, Metazoa, Cnidaria, Anthozoa, Malacalcyonacea, Nephtheidae. The transcript is spliced from 3 exons.
UUGGCAAAUGGGCCGAUGAAACUCCACUACGCUUGAGAACUCGAAAAAUGUCGGUUUGAUGCUUUGGUUACUAUCUCUGUAAUGUGUAAAAAUUCCACUUCAGACUAUUCUGGAUUGUUAAACUUUAUACUUUGUGGGAUUCUAUUCUUUCAAGACUAAUAUUUUCAACAACUACUUAGGUGGAUGGAGGCUGCUCUUUGUCUCGUCGAAAGGACGAGACUUAUACAUGCACUUUACACUGCAGCUGGUAAGAAUUUGGGAAGGCUUGAAAUAUCAGUGGUUUUGGGUGAGUGGUAAAAUAUCACUUGCUACACUUGCAUACCGUAUUGCAAAGACUUAUAUAGCGAAUUUUUGUUUUGAACAGUUGUCAUGAAUGAACAAGUUAAUUCGUCAAUAAAUUACGUCUAUCAUUGCCGCAUUAUAUGUAAUUUAAGAUAAGACUGCAAGGUGAAGCGAACAGGCAAAGUAAAUUCAGGCAUCAAAGUGAAGAAGUAAAUUAAGCGAUCGUUUUUAGUCAGUUCGAGCCAUAGGAGAUCCACCACUCUUCAGAUAUAUUCUCUAAACAAAUGGAUUUCCGUCUGAAAAUUUGUUUGUUGCUGAUACUUUUCGUGGCAUUUUCGGAUGUUGAUGGAGAUAAUUGUUUUUCCGUUAAUGGUGUGUGUGUACAUCCACGUCUGCCUUGUCCUAUUGACCACUACGUAUGUUCUAGAUAUCGUUGUCCAGGCUUGGAAGAUUG